GGGUGAGUAGCUUAGCGGUUAGUGUAUUAAAGCAACUACAGCGGACGGCUGUGGACCGUCAGACCCGGGUUCGAAUCCCGGCUCACCCACCA
RNAcentral lists this transfer RNA (92 nucleotides) under Candidatus Bathyarchaeota archaeon. RNAcentral describes it as "tRNA-His". It matches the Rfam family "tRNA". From Rfam's summary of the family: Transfer RNA (tRNA) molecules are approximately 80 nucleotides in length. Their secondary structure includes four short double-helical elements and three loops (D, anti-codon, and T loops). The record is from RNAcentral. Lineage: Archaea; Thermoproteati; Candidatus Bathyarchaeota.